RNAcentral lists this ribosomal RNA (606 nucleotides) under Copris amyntor. RNAcentral's name for it is "eukaryotic LSU rRNA". It matches the Rfam family "Eukaryotic large subunit ribosomal RNA", at positions 688 to 1251 of the family's 3401-position model. The record is from RNAcentral. Lineage: Eukaryota; Metazoa; Arthropoda; Insecta; Coleoptera; Scarabaeidae.
GAGUCAUUGGGACUCGAUUAAACCUAAAGGCGCAAUGAAAGUAAAGGUCCGCCUAGCGCGGACCGAGGGAGGAUGGGCUCGUCUAAGGGCGAGCCCCGCACUCCCGGGGCGUCUCGUCCUCAUCGCGAGGAGAGGCGCACCCAGAGCGUACACGCUGGGACCCGAAAGAUGGUGAACUAUGCCUGGUCAGGACGAAGUCAGGGGAAACCCUGAUGGAGGUCCGUAGCGAUUCUGACGUGCAAAUCGAUCGUCGGAACUGGGUAUAGGGGCGAAAGACUAAUCGAACCUUCUAGUAGCUGGUUCCCUCCGAAGUUUCCCUCAGGAUAGCUGGCGCUCGCCUUUGCGAGUCUCAUUCGGUAAAGCGAAUGAUUAGAGGCAUUGGGGUCGAAACGGCCUCAACCUAUUCUCAAACUUUAAAUGGGUGAGAUCUCCGGCUUGCUUGAAGCGUGAAGCCGCGAGAUAUCGGAUCACAGAGUGCCAAGUGGGCCACUUUUGGUAAGCAGAACUGGCGCUGUGGGAUGAACCAAACGCCGAGUUAAAGCGCCAAAAUCGACGCUUAUGGGAUACCAUGAAAGGCGUUGGUAACUUAAGACAGCAGGACGGUGG